This 64-nucleotide transfer RNA is filed under the name Tomicus brevipilosus. RNAcentral describes it as "tRNA-His". It matches the Rfam family "tRNA". Rfam says of the family: Transfer RNA (tRNA) molecules are approximately 80 nucleotides in length. Their secondary structure includes four short double-helical elements and three loops (D, anti-codon, and T loops). Further hydrogen bonds mediate the characteristic L-shaped molecular structure. tRNAs have two regions of fundamental functional importance: the anti-codon, which is responsible for specific mRNA codon recognition, and the 3' end, to which the tRNAs corresponding amino acid is attached (by aminoacyl-tRNA synthetases). tRNAs cope with the degeneracy of the genetic code in two manners: having more than one tRNA (with a specific anti-codon) for a particular amino acid; and 'wobble' base-pairing, i.e. permitting non-standard base-pairing at the 3rd anti-codon position. Lineage: Eukaryota; Metazoa; Arthropoda; Insecta; Coleoptera; Curculionidae. The record is from RNAcentral.
GUUUAAAUAGUUUAUUAUAAAACUUUAAUUUGUGGAGUUAAAAAUAUGGGUUCCAUUUUAAACA